AGCUAGUUGGUGAGGUAAUGGCUCACCAAGGCUAUGACAUCUAACUGGUUUGAGAGGAUGAUCAGUCACACUGGAACUGAGACACGGUCCAGACUCCUACGGGAGGCAGCAGUGGGGAAUAUUGCACAAUGGAGGAAACUCUGAUGCAGCAACGCCGCGUGGAGGAUGACACAUUUCGGUGCGUAAACUCCUUUUAUUUGGGAAGAUAAUGACGGUACCUAAUGAAUAAGCACCGGCUAACUCCGUGCCAGCAGCCGCGGUAAUACGGGGGGUGCAAGCGUUACUCGGAAUCACUGGGCGUAAAGAGCAUGUAGGCUGGUUUGUAAGUUGGAAGUGAAAUCCUAUGGCUCAACCAUAGAACUGCUUCCAAAACUACAUACCUAGAGUAUGGGAGAGGUAGAUGGAAUUUCUGGUGUAGGGGUAAAAUCCGUAGAGAUCAGAAAGAAUACCGAUUGCGAAGGCGAUCUACUGGAACAUUACUGACGCUGAGAUGCGAAAGCGUGGGGAGCAAACAGGAUUAGAUACCCUGGUAGUCCACGCCCUAAACGAUGCACACUAGUUGUUGCUAUGCUAGACAUAGCAGUAAUGCAGUUAACACAGUAAGUGUGCCGCCUGGGGAGUACGGUCGCAAGAUUAAAACUCAAAGGAAUAGACGGGGACCCGCACAAGCGGUGGAGCAUGUGGUUUAAUUCGACGAUACGCGAAGAACCUUACCUGGCCUUGACAUAGAUAGAACUUUCUAGAGAUAGAUUGGUGCUAGCUUGCUAGAACUAUCAUACAGGUGCUGCACGGCUGUCGUCAGCUCGUGUCGUGAGAUGUUGGGUUAAGUCCCGCAACGAGCGCAACCCUCGUGUUUAGUUACUAACAGUUCGGCUGAGGACUCUAGACAGACUGCCUGGGCAACCAGGAGGAAGGUGAGGACGACGUCAAGUCAUCAUGGCCCUUACGGCCAGGGCUACACACGUGCUACAAUGGGGUAUACAAAGAGCAGCAAUACCGCGAGGUGGAGCAAAUCUCAUAAAAUAUCUCCCAGUUCGGAUAGCAGUCUGCAACUCGACUGCUUGAAGUUGGAAUCGCUAGUAAUCGUAGAUCAGCAAUGCUACGGUGAAUACGUUCCCGGGUCUUGUACUCACCGCCCGUCA
RNAcentral lists this ribosomal RNA (1142 nucleotides) under uncultured bacterium. Its description in RNAcentral is "bacterial SSU rRNA". It matches the Rfam family "Bacterial small subunit ribosomal RNA", at positions 243 to 1399 of the family's 1533-position model. The record is from RNAcentral.